GAUGAACGCUGGCGGCGUGCCUAAUACAUGCAAGUCGAGCGAACAGACGAGGAGCUUGCUCCUUUGACGUUAGCGGCGGACGGGUGAGUAACACGUGGGUAACCUACCUAUAAGACUGGGAUAACUUCGGGAAACCGGAGCUAAUACCGGAUAAUAUUUCGAACCGCAUGGUUCGAUAGUGAAAGAUGGCUUUGCUAUCACUUAUAGAUGGACCUGCGCCGUAUUAGCUAGUUGGUAAGGUAACGGCUUACCAAGGCAACGAUACGUAGCCGACCUGAGAGGGUGAUCGGCCACAAUGGAACUGAGACACGGUCCAGACUCCGACGGGAGGCAGCAGUAGGGAAUCUUCCGCAAUGGGCGAAAGCCUGACGGAGCAACGCCGCGUGAGUGAUGAAGGUCUUCGGAUCGUAAAACUCUGUUAUUAGGGAAGAAUAAACGUGUAAGUAACUGUGCACGUCUUGACGGUACCUAAUCAGAAAGCCACGGCUAACUACGU
RNAcentral lists this ribosomal RNA (496 nucleotides) under uncultured bacterium. RNAcentral's name for it is "partial 16S ribosomal RNA". It matches the Rfam family "Bacterial small subunit ribosomal RNA", at positions 28 to 506 of the family's 1533-position model. The record is from RNAcentral.